Molecule: ribosomal RNA, 253 nt
Filed under: uncultured bacterium
Lineage: Bacteria
Description: partial 16S ribosomal RNA
Rfam family: Bacterial small subunit ribosomal RNA
Source: RNAcentral
UACGUAGGGGGCAAGCGUUGUCCGGAUUUAUUGUGCGUAAAGCGCGUGUAGGCGGCCAGGUAGGUCCGCUGUGAAAACCCGAGGCUCAACCUCGGGACGUCGGCGGAAACCAUCUGGCUAGAGUCCGGAAGAGGAGAGUGGAAUUCCCGGUGUAGCGGUGAAAUGCGCAGAUAUCGGGAAGAACACCCGUGGCGAAGGCGGCUCUCUGGGACGGUACUGACGCUGAGACGCGAAAGCGUGGGGAGCGAACAGG